This 1244-nucleotide long non-coding RNA is filed under the name Anas platyrhynchos platyrhynchos (common mallard). RNAcentral describes it as "lncRNA (ENSAPLG00000029379.1)". Lineage: Eukaryota; Metazoa; Chordata; Aves; Anseriformes; Anatidae. The record is from RNAcentral.
GCAAGCCCAGUGGCAGUGGAUGAAACCGGCAGUGACUGCGCGCAGUCAUGCUGCAAGGCUUGAGCGAGCCCUCUUGAAGAGGCUGAACACCUCCUGCGUGGGAAAAUCUAUGGCAGAGGAAUUUUAAACAAGCAACCAACAUCAUGGAGGCAUCUGAACUCUCAUCUCCACCACUGUGCCGCAUCAUUCUGGGGCUAGGGUGGCUUUGCACAAGCCUUGCCUUUGAGGUACCACAGAGCAGCAUCACCCCAGGGCAGAAGCUGUGCCUCCAAAAGGCCCAAUUCUCACUCUGUUCAUUCUUGUCAAAGGCAACGGUAUGAUUCUGUCGCCCUGCAUGCCAGCCAGUCACCUCUAUGAAGUAUUUGGAUACAUGUUUCCAGGUGCAGAAGAGUCAGCCUGAGUGUGCCAAGCUGAACAGACGUGCCAAAGGGUGUUAAACCCCUUGCCAUACAUGCACAAGGAGGUUUCCUGCAAGUACCUCGUGCAGAGGAGAGCAAACCCGGGAGCACACCCUGAUCCAGGCAAUGAUCCCAUACAGAUGCCAGACGUACAAUCAAACCAAAGAGGACUGCCUUUUUCCGAGGAACUGAACACAACACCUGAAAACCAACAACUGCACCACUACCUCAGGUACCAAAUUAAAAGAAAUUAAAGCAAACAAGAAGCUGCCUUAAAAUUAUGCUGUGACAUAUGAAUGACUGGAGAAAAAAAUGAGAAAUAAUGUUGGGGGGAAAAAAGAGUUUGUCAUACCCUUGUUUUAGGAAGUCUUCUGUGAAUUAAGCCAGAAUCUCUAACAUACUGGUCAUCUUUUCAUCAUCACAGUACACAAAUAUACUUCCCUUUUAAUAUUCGUGACUCCUCACCAGUAACAGCUUUGUUUAUUGAUGUUUCUUUUUCAGAUAUAUUAAAGAUUUAUAUAUGUAUUAAGAAGAUUACAGAUCAGAAAGAACUGGGAAAAGUUACAAAACUUUAAUUAUCUUAAUAGACAAUUGGAUUUUAUGAAAGAUGCAUAUAGUGUACAACUAUCAUUUGAACAAAUAACCUACAAGUAAUUUUUUUAGUAGAAAUGUCCUCACUUUGGGUAAGAAAUUAUCCAUUUCCACUGAAAAACAGAUAGAUUUUUAGCAAAAGGAAAUUGUGUUUGAAAGAAACCUAUAAUAACUUAUUUUCUAAAACAGAAAGACGUGUUUAAUUUUCCUGCUAAAUGUAAUAAAAUUUCUAUAUGAUUUUGCUAUAGGGUAAAA